UGUUUUUAUACGACCGCAAAAAAAUUUUUGUGGUCGUAUAUUGGUAUGACGUUGGCGUCGUCGUCCGAAUACACAUUAGUUUUCGCACUCUAACUUUAGUUUAAGUGAAUGGAUCUCAAUGAAAUUUUACCAUAAGGUUCAAUACCACAAAAGGAAGGUGGGGAUUGAUUUUGGGGGUUAUGGUACUAACAGUUAAGGAAUUAGGGGCCAAAAGGGGCCAAAAAUAAGCAUUUUUGUAACUUCCAGACAUAACUUGUGUGUAAGUGUAUGGAUCUCUCUGACAUUGUACCACAAGGUUCCAUAUCACAAAGGGAAUGCUGGGAUUGAUUUUGGGGGUAAUUGCCUCCAAAUUUUAGGAAUUAGGGGCCAAAAAGGGGCAAAAAACAAGCAUUUUUCUUGUUUCAUGACAAUAACUUGUUUGUAAGUGUAUGGAUCUUUAUGAAAUUGUACUACAAGGUUCCAUAUCACAAAGGGAAUACUGGGAUUGAUUUUUGGGGUAAUUUCCUCCAAAUUUUAGGAAUUAGGGGCCAAAAAGGGGCAAAAAACAAGCAUUUUUCUAGUUUCAUGACAAUAACUUGUUUGUAAGUGUAUGGAUCUUUAUGAAAUUGUACUACAAGGUUCCAUAUCACAAAGGGAAAGCUGGAAUUGAGUUUGGGGGUAAUUGCCCUAAACGUUUAGGAAUUUGGGGCCAAAAAACAAGCAUUUUUCUAGUUUCCAGACAAUAACUUGUGUUCAAGUGUAUGAAUCUCUCUGAAAUUGUACUGCAAGGUACCAUACCACAAAGGGAAAGCUGGGAUUGAGUUUGGGGCUGAUGAAUCAUAAGGGGGUUCAAAAAAUUGGGGGGGACUUUUUUUUUCCUUUUUUUUCUUUAACAUUUUCCAUUUUAAAUUGGUUAUUUCUGAUUUAUAUAUAAAAGCAAAUAAUAAUGAUAUGGUUUGAAUAGGCAUACAUGUGAACCUCCCGACGGGAGUACAAUAAUCCCGUUUUCAGGGGUCUCCUCCCGACCUCCCGUUGAAGAGGAAAAAAUCCCGUGUAUGAAAUUUUUCAUGAAUGAAAAAUUUCUGCCCAACAUAUCAUCUCAGGCAUCUGGUGUAACUGACAUUACCUGAAGUUAUAUUUUACCUGUAAAUCAAUUAACAUGCAUAAUUAUAUGGCUUCACUUGUCAGCUUGGGUGUCAAACAUACUGGUAAUCAACGAUUUUUACCUCAGGCUAACUGCCGUUGUGUAACAAAAACUGUGUAUUUAUUGGGUUACUUCCCUUGAUUUAUCCUGUUUUAAGUUACUUUCCUUUUAAUAAUGAAAAUUUUUAAAAGAAUAUAAAUAAAAUAUAAAUUGAACAAAUAAUCAUAAAAGGAUGGUUAUUAAAUGAUUUUAAAUGUCUUAGGACAAAUAAAAAAAUAAUAAUUUGAAAAUUAUUUGAGGAUUCUAUACUUCCUUUCAAGGCUUAAAUUGAAAUUUAUAUAAUAACUAUGACCCAUAUUUUACAGAUAGAAUGAUUUUCUGAGUUUGCAAAUAAAAACUAUUUGCAAGAGAAAAAAAAAAAAAUAAAAA
Mytilus californianus (California mussel) is the source of this 1552-nucleotide long non-coding RNA. RefSeq lists it as uncharacterized. NCBI's taxonomy places the organism in Eukaryota, Metazoa, Mollusca, Bivalvia, Mytilida, Mytilidae. The record is from RefSeq and is a predicted model, not a curated record. The transcript is spliced from 2 exons.